This 518-nucleotide ribosomal RNA is filed under the name uncultured bacterium. RNAcentral's name for it is "bacterial SSU rRNA". It matches the Rfam family "Bacterial small subunit ribosomal RNA", at positions 20 to 507 of the family's 1533-position model. The record is from RNAcentral.
UGGUUCAGGACGAACGCUGGCGGCGUGCUUAACACAUGCAAGUCGAACGAGAAGAGAUGAGAAGCUUGCUUCUUAUUGAUUUGAGUGGCAAACGGGUGAGUAACGCGUAAGCAACCUGCCCUUCAGAUGGGGACAACAGCUGGAAACGGCUGCUAAUACCGAAUACGUUCUUUUUUGUCGCAUGGCAGAGGGAAGAAAGGGAGGCUCUUCGGAGCUUCCGCUGAAGGAGGGGCUUGCGUCUGAUUAGCUAGUUGGAGGGGUAACGGCCCACCAAGGCGACGAUCAGUAGCCGGUCUGAGAGGAUGAACGGCCACAUUGGGACUGAGACACGGCCCAGACUCCUACGGGAGGCAGCAGUGGGGAAUCUUCCGCAAUGGACGAAAGUCUGACGGAGCAACGCCGCGUGAACGAUGACGGCCUUCGGGUUGUAAAGUUCUGUUAUACGGGACGAAUGGCGUAGCGGUCAAUACCCGUUACGAGUGACGGUACCGUAAGAGAAAGCCACGGCUAACUACGUG